AUUCAUAAUUUAAUUUCAAAUUAUCAACCUCUUCUUCAGGUUUAUUGUAGGUACACAUUGGUGUGUGACAUAGGAGUCUUGCCUGAUUUGAAAUAUCAUGAAACAUACAGAAAUGUAUACUUCUUUUAAUGAGUAAUUCUGAAGAUGGAAGGAAGUCAUUUACGCUGUCUAAAAAGGCUUUAAAAGCUCUUAAACCAGGAUAUGAGCAAAAAAGAUUAGUCAAUUUUAGACAUUAUCCAUCAAUUUUCUAAAUAAAUCUUAAUAUUAAUGUUUCUCAUUAAAGAAAGGGGGGCUGGAGGGGGUUCGUCUGAUGUUGAGCGAGCAUUAACACUCAUCGUAGAUUUGAUUUAACUAAGUAUGUGCUUAAAUAAAACAAAAACUGCGUGCGUAAAAAGUACACGUGUCAAAAGUGAAACUUCUUUGUAAAUUCAUUAUUACGAAGGUAAAAGCCUUAAUGAAAUUCAUGAAGAAAUAAAAUAUGUUGGUGGUAAAAUAAACAUUUCUAUUAUACGACAAGGACAUAAGACCCCCCCAGGCGUAUGAGUUAACUUACAAAACCUUGAUCACGAACCUUAUAAUAAAAAAUUUCAUCUAUUUUGCCUACAUUGAAGUGAUAAAUGCACACAGAAAACAUCACACAGCUGCCAUUCGAACGAUCUGAGCGUUGAGAUCCUUCCGCCACUAGGCUUGACAGUAUCUUGCCAAUUCAUUUAUGAAAAUGUUAUGUAUGUAAGAAAGAAUCUACAUAUUUUUAGUAAAAUAAAUGAUAAACAACUUUAAUAGUAGAAAUAAAGAUAAUGGCUCAACCAUCUUUCCGAUAAGCCAAAGUUCAAACAUC
Long non-coding RNA from Pieris brassicae (large cabbage white), 838 nucleotides. RefSeq lists it as uncharacterized. The transcript has 2 exons. Lineage: Eukaryota; Metazoa; Arthropoda; Insecta; Lepidoptera; Pieridae. The record is from RefSeq and is a predicted model, not a curated record.